RNAcentral lists this ribosomal RNA (253 nucleotides) under uncultured bacterium. RNAcentral's name for it is "partial 16S ribosomal RNA". It matches the Rfam family "Bacterial small subunit ribosomal RNA", at positions 524 to 776 of the family's 1533-position model. The record is from RNAcentral.
UACGAAGGGGGCUAGCGUUGUUCGGCAUUACUGGGCGUAAAGCGCACGUAGGCGGAUAUUUAAGUCAGGGGUGAAAUCCCGGGGCUCAACCCCGGAACUGCCUUUGAUACUGGGUAUCUCGAGUCCGAGAGAGGUGAGUGGAAUUCCGAGUGUAGAGGUGAAAUUCGUAGAUAUUCGGAGGAACACCAGUGGCGAAGGCGGCUCACUGGCCCGGUACUGACGCUGAGGCGCGAAAGCGUGGGGAGCAAACAGG